CCGGCGACCGGCGCACGGGUGAGUAACGCGUAUGCAACCUACCUUUAACAGGGGGAUAACACUGAGAAAUUGGUACUAAUACCCCAUAAUAUCAUAGAAGGCAUCUUUUAUGGUUGAAAAUUCCGAUGGUUAGAGAUGGGCAUGCGUUGUAUUAGCUAGUUGGUGGGGUAACGGCUCACCAAGGCGACGAUACAUAGGGGGACUGAGAGGUUAACCCCCCACACUGGUACUGAGACACGGACCAG
RNAcentral lists this ribosomal RNA (245 nucleotides) under uncultured bacterium. RNAcentral describes it as "partial 16S ribosomal RNA". It matches the Rfam family "Bacterial small subunit ribosomal RNA", at positions 88 to 334 of the family's 1533-position model. The record is from RNAcentral.